RNAcentral lists this ribosomal RNA (1818 nucleotides) under Triticum aestivum (bread wheat). RNAcentral describes it as "partial small subunit ribosomal RNA". The record is from RNAcentral. Lineage: Eukaryota; Viridiplantae; Streptophyta; Magnoliopsida; Poales; Poaceae.
GGGGCUAGGCGGGCUAGGCGCGGCCUAGGGGAGGGGGGGUGGCGCCCGUGGGCGGCGUCUACCCGCAGCCGGCGUGGUCGGCGCCGCCCGGGAGGUGGCGCCCGGCCGGGAUGAAGGGCGGCUAGAGGCGCGGCGGCCGGAGGAGGAGGGGGAGGGGCGGGAGGGGCGGCCGCGGGGGGCAGCUCUGCCGGAGGUGCAGGCAGUGGUUCUGGCAGUUGCCCAGCGUGGUGAAGUUCUAGCGGCCGAUGAGCGAGCGGUUCCCCUAGCCCCAGCCGUUCAUGUAGCGGAGGCUCAGGAAGUGGCAGCCGCCGAAGCUCACCCGGUAGAUGAAGAUGGGGCUGCCGUUCUCGCGGCUCCUGCCGCGGCGGAUGCAGAGAGAGAAGUAGCGCGAGCGGUCGCUCCCGUGGCUGCACGCGCGCGAGAAGCUCGAGUGCGAGCAGCUGGUCUCGCCGUUCCCGGUCCUGUUCCACGUGUGGGUGAAGCCCUCCAGCGAGCUCCCGCCCGGGAUGUGCGAGUUCAUGGCCCCGUCGUACACCCCAAUGUUUGCCAAGAAGUUUGCAAGACCGGACCUUUGUAGUCUAAUAGAGUUUCUACUAACGGAAGACCAUUUGACGUGGCAACCACAACAAGUCAGUGUAUGACUUCCCGGUUUCUAUAUGUCCUAUGGUCACGGUGUCAGACUGUACAGAGUCGUAUAACCCGUAAACAACUGGUCACCCUUCUCUUGGCUAUAUUGUAAACUUCAACUACUUCUCUACAAAGGACGAGUGUUCCACCAAGAACGUCGGGCUAGUGGUCAAAAAUCCCGUGUUGAGAAACCAGGGUACUUCCUAUUUUUGUACUUCACGUAUUUCUAACUUCUGUACCUCCGAGGUCACAAGUUCCGGAACGAGGUAAAAUACAUGACCCUACUCAACGGGUUGUAUCUUCUCGAAUGACCAAAUUUAUGCUGAACCCAAAGGUGAAACUACCGAGUCGUAAACGAACGUCGACGACUGGCCAUACGUAACCUCUCUGAUUUCGACGAAAGACUUGAGUUCGAUACACUUCUACAACGCUAUUUGUGUCAACGUUUAUGAAACCGCGACCGACUUGUCGUGGUAACGGUGGUCGAUUUUUGACAAACGAACUUUAAGCACCGGAGCGGCCUUUUAAACUUUCGACAGUACGUUUGACUUCCUAAGCUAAUAAACGUCGUUUCGACGGGAAGAGAGGACUGACUCGAAGACCUCAUACAACGCUUCCAUCCUCUGGUACGACACGGGGGGACGAAUAUAAGGUUACUUCACGACCUACCACCGCUACGGUUACCUUCUGCGCACUUUGGUUCUGAAAUUGACGAGGGGUCCAGUCGGAUCUUCCUCAAAGUACCGACAACACGACAUUUCACAAGGAUAUUGUCGUACGUACACCGUACAACAUCACACAUAGCCACAAACAGAACACUAAGACUAGAAGUAGAAGUAGGAGUCGGCACUACGAUCAGACCUCGAGCAACAACGACUAUAUAUAAGUUGACUGACCGGAUGUUAACGUAAACGACGCUUCGAGACAAUGAAACGUCGGACACCAGUAUUCACGUGUGUAUGUGUCCACCGCGCCGCUUCCAACCGACUGGACUGGCCAUGUUCCAAACUAGUUCGUCUUUAUUUUCGCGUCCUACACAAGUGUCAACCACACACGAUCCAGUCGGAACAGCUAAGGAUCAGCAGACGUACUGAUGAACAUAACUUAACUUUACUACAUUGGGUUACUCUAGAUAAACUAAACUUACGGAUACAAAUUUCAAGAACACAAACGAAAACAGGAUGGCUCAGG